RNAcentral lists this ribosomal RNA (478 nucleotides) under uncultured bacterium. RNAcentral describes it as "partial 16S ribosomal RNA". It matches the Rfam family "Bacterial small subunit ribosomal RNA", at positions 28 to 507 of the family's 1533-position model. The record is from RNAcentral.
GAUGAACGCUGGCGGCGUGCUUAACACAUGCAAGUCGAACGAGAAGUGGAGACGGAAACCUUCGGGCGGAAGACUUUAUUUCGAGUGGCGGACGGGUGAGUAACGCGUGGGUAACCUGCCUCAUACAGGGGGAUAACAGUUGGAAACGACUGUUAAUACCGCAUAAGACCACAGCACCGCAUGGUGCGGGGGUAAAAACUCCGGUGGUAUGAGAUGGACCCGCGUUCGAUUAGCCAGUUGGCGGGGUAACGGCCCACCAAAGCGACGAUCGAUAGCCGAUCUGAGAGGAUGACCGGCCACAUUGGGACUGAGACACGGCCCAAACUCCUACGGGAGGCAGCAGUGGGGAAUAUUGCACAAUGGGGGAAACCAUGAUGCAGCGACGCCGCGUGAGUGAAGAAGUAUUUCGGUAUGUAAAGCUCUAUCAGCAGGGAAGAAAAUGACGGUACCUGAGUAAGAAGCCCCGGCUAACUACGUG